This is an RNA transcript of Cucumis melo (muskmelon), 999 nucleotides long. RefSeq lists it as uncharacterized. Lineage: Eukaryota; Viridiplantae; Streptophyta; Magnoliopsida; Cucurbitales; Cucurbitaceae. The transcript has 4 exons. The record is from RefSeq and is a predicted model, not a curated record.
AAAUGUAAUAGCUUUAGCAACAAAAAUAGACGUCGCUAAAAGUCCUAAAAAAUUCCCCCUUUUAUUUCCCUCCUCUUUUUCAUUAAACAAUUUUAAUUAAAAAACCCUUUCCCUCUUUCCAUUACCCAACCCGAAAGCUCUCCAUCUCCACCUCCUCUCCUCCCAUCUCCACCCAAAAGUUCUCCAUCGCCGAACCACUCAUCUGUACGAACUAAGGAUGCUGACGACGAAGUACGAUGACGCUUCUACGACCGAACGAACUGCACGAUGCUUCUACGGCCACGCUAGACGAACCACGCGAAGCACGCCAUUUCCAUCUGUACGAACCACCCGACGGCCAUCAACCUCGAACGGUCCCAAAAGCUACUUCACGCGAACAGCCCUAUGAUUCUGCUCUAACUUCCUUAAACACUUCUGCUCCACGCCCAAGACAUUCUUGUGAGAUGCUUAAGUUUUAAAAUUUUUUGGGUGAUGUAUUUGGAAUUUGAUUUGUUGAAUAUUUAUUCUCUUAAUUAGUUUUAAGAUUGGGUGAUGUCUUCAUUUCAUGUUUUUCUAAUGCCAUUUUUGUGAACUUUUCAUUGUUCUAUCAUAAUGUAGUGAUCCAGAGGAUAGACCAAGACCAAGGCCAAUUUUAGCAAGGUUUAAUUUGCUACUAUAAUUAUUCUUGCAUUUGUAAUAGGACACCAAAAGAAGUCCUUGCAGACACAGGAGUAAAGCCAACGUUGACUCCUAAUUUGAAUACCCUAGCUCUAGUUGAGGAAGGAGGAAUCUUUCAAGCGAUGAUUGUGUAAUGCUAUUAAAAGAAAGGUUGUGGAAUCCAAGUUUGUAUUUGAAACCAAGUUCAUACAAGGUCAUUGAGUUUCAAGCUUCUUUAAUUAAUUUGUGUUUCUUGAACAACUAGUAUUGUAAUGAUCAACUAUAUGUAUGUUUAAGCAUAUAUAUGCAAUUUGUUAGUUCUUUUAAAAGAUUGGGUUGAUUGAAGAAACAUAAAUGGUUCAA